AAAAAGGCUCUUUUCAGGGCCAGAAAAAGAUUAAGAAAGUCUUUUU
Stegodyphus mimosarum is the source of this 46-nucleotide non-coding RNA. The record is from Rfam. Lineage: Eukaryota; Metazoa; Arthropoda; Arachnida; Araneae; Eresidae.